CAGUAGCCGCGGGAAUACGUAGGUGGCAAGCGUUGUCCGGAAUUAUUGGGCGUAAAGGGCUCGCAGGCGGUUUCUUAAGUCUGAUGUGAAAGCCCCCGGCUCAACCGGGGAGGGUCAUUGGAAACUGGGAAACUUGAGUGCAGAAGAGGAGAGUGGAAUUCCACGUGUAGCGGGGAAAUGCGUAGAGAUGUGGAGGAACACCAGUGGCGAAGGCGACUCUCUGGUCUGUAACUGACGCUGAGGAGCGAAAGCGUGGGGAGCGAACAGGAUUAGAGACCCCAGUAGUCCCUGUCUCUUAUAC
This 301-nucleotide ribosomal RNA is filed under the name uncultured bacterium. RNAcentral describes it as "partial 16S ribosomal RNA". It matches the Rfam family "Bacterial small subunit ribosomal RNA", at positions 509 to 807 of the family's 1533-position model. The record is from RNAcentral.